GAUGAACGCUAGCGGCAGGCCUAAUACAUGCAAGUCGAACGGUGCCCUCGGGCAUAGUGGCGAACGGGUGCGUAACGCGUAAGUAACCUGCCCUUUACUGGGGGAUAGCCCGGCGAAAGCUGGGGUAAGCCCGCAUGGUCCGAUUAGCUGGCAUCAGCUGCUCGGUAAACAUUGAUGGGUAAAGGAGGGACUUGCGUCUGAUUAGCUAGUUGGCGGGGUAGUGGCCCACCAAGGCGAUGAUCAGUAGGGGCUCUGAGAGGAGCGGCCCCCACACUGGCACUGAGGUACGGGCCAGACUCCUACGGGAGGCAGCAGUAGGGAAUAUUGGACAAUGGGCGCAAGCCUGAUCCAGCCAUGCCGCGUGAGUGAUGAAGGCCUUAGGGUUGUAAAGCUCUUUCACCGAUGGAGAUAAUGACGGUAGUCGGAGAAGAAGCCCCGGCUAACUCUGUGCCAGCCGCCGCGGUAA
Molecule: ribosomal RNA, 466 nt
Filed under: uncultured bacterium
Lineage: Bacteria
Description: partial 16S ribosomal RNA
Rfam family: Bacterial small subunit ribosomal RNA
Source: RNAcentral